AAAAAAUAUACUGGAUGGUUCAGAGUUCUUUUUAUCAGCUUAAAUAUGAAGUCACUGCAGUUCAGCAUCAGAGGACACAGAAAACAAAAACAAAACCCUUUAACUUGUUUCGAGAAACUGCUUGUUAAAAGUUCUUUUCCUCUCCACUCCUCAAUUGGUAUUUUCAUAAUGCGUUAGCUUCAAUGACAGAAAAGUUAAAAAAUUAUCUAUAUGUAUUUUUCUACUUGUCUUAUGGCUAGAAUUUAAAAAAUUAUAAGACUUAUCAAGAAUUCUGUGUUAGGUGGUUGGUGGUUUGGGGCCCUUCCCUGAGCUGAAUGAGUGCACAAAGCACAGCUGCCUUGACCUGGUGUUUUCCUUACUUCUUUGGGACGUUAACCACCCAAUGACUGAGUGCUUAUAUUAGCAAUGACGGGAGCUGUGCUCACUAAUAUUUGUCCUUAUGUUCCUUCCAUGGUAUGAAUUCUUGUUACUGCUUGUUGCUGGUUUAGUAGAAAACAUCAGUGAGAACAGCUUUGAACCAAAUGUUAGCCAUUUUCUCCAUGAUUCUUUGAGCUUAUAUUCAGCUGUGUGAUCUAGCCUAGAUCAUGAAGACAUGUUAGCCUGAAAUUAUCGCAAUAAUUUCAUUUCAAAUAGGACCAGACACCAUUCAAGANNNNNNNNNNNNNNNNNNNNNNNNNNNNNNNNNNNNNNNNNNNNNNNNNNNNNNNNNNNNNNNNNNNNNNNNNNNNNNNNNNNNNNNNNNNNNNNNNNNUAUCGCAAUAAUUUCAUUUCAAAUAGGACCAGACACCAUUCAAGACGUUGGGGAGUCAAGCAUGAACAAAACCAAGACCUUGUUAUACAGAAAAUAAAGCAGGGUUUAGGGAUAGGAUGUAACUGGAAUCAUUAUUUUAGAUAACAUGGUUGGAGUGUUUCUCGAACACUUUCUAUAGCAGCACAAUCAGUUUUAAAAAGGAGGCACACACUUUAGCUAAAUUAUUUUUAAGGAAAUGACUUCAUAUUUGCAACAGUUAGAUGUUGUUGCAAAGCAGUGGUUCUUGAACUGUAGCAUGUAUCAGAAUCAGCUAUGCUACUGCAUGCCAGGUCGAUUCAGUCCUGUCCAGCUCUUUGCGACCCAAUGGACUGUAGCCCACCAGGCUCCUCUGUCCUUGGGAUUUCCAAGGCAAGAACACUGGAGUAGAUUUCUAUUCCCUUUUCCACAUAAUCACCUACAGGGCUUAUUAAAACCCAGCUUGCUGGGACCUCCCCAGAGUUUCUGAUUCAGUGAAUCUGGGUAAAGUCUGAGAAUGUCAAUUUCUUAUAAGUUGCUAGUGAUGUUGAUGCUUGGAUCUAGGGCCAUUGCUGUAAAGAAAUUUUUUAAAGAUCACUUCAAAAAGAUUAAAACAAACAAAAACCAGCUGACCUGAUGGCAUGCAAAUAAUUCUUGUGAUUUAGGACUGAGUUUUUAACAAUAAAAAUCUUACAUUCAAAAAAGGGAUAUAUUUCAAAAAGUUGGAGGUGACAAUAAUGUACUUUGAAAAAUGAUGUUAAGCAACACAGAAGGUAGCUUCAGUGAUUAAUUAAAUACCUUGAAUGAAAGACUUGAUGUUGAAAAUAAGCAUGAAGAGUCUGAAUAAAAUUAUUUAUGAAAUGUGUUAAAGAAGCUCAAUUCAACUGACCCUUAAACAUGGGCAGAGGGAUCAGGACCUAGUCCUAAUUCUUCUAAUUAACUCAAAGUUCACAUAGAAGAAUAAUAUGUAACACUUCCAGUUGAAGGAUUAUAAUGUCAUUAAUUUAUAAUAUUACCUAAUGAUAUUUUUGUGUCUAUAUUUAACCUAAAGGAGAACUAGAUAGUAUAAUAAUAUUUAAAGAAUUUAAAAUUAUUUGGAGUAAUGAUAUGACCAAUAAGGAAUUAAUAUCCAAUGUAUAUAAACAGCUCAUAUAACUCAAUGUCAAAAAACCAAGCAACCUGAUUAAAAAAUGGGUCGGAAUGUGUUAUGUUACUUCUAUGGUAAUAAAAUAAGAAAUUAGGUCAGGUUGGGGAACAUGUGUAUGCUCAUG
Molecule: long non-coding RNA, 2037 nt
Filed under: Capra hircus (goat)
Lineage: Eukaryota; Metazoa; Chordata; Mammalia; Artiodactyla; Bovidae
Description: lncRNA (ENSCHIG00010012409.1)
Source: RNAcentral